Alosa sapidissima (American shad) is the source of this 7338-nucleotide RNA transcript. It is a transcript of the gene named arginine-glutamic acid dipeptide (RE) repeats a, with no coding region annotated. The transcript is spliced from 19 exons. The record is from RefSeq and is a predicted model, not a curated record. NCBI's taxonomy places the organism in Eukaryota, Metazoa, Chordata, Actinopteri, Clupeiformes, Clupeidae.
UGUUCCCUGUCUGUUUGUGUUUUGCAGAGCAAACGGGACCAUCUGCUGAUGAAUGUGAAGUGGUACUACCGCCAGUCUGAGGUGCCCGACUCGGUCUACCAGCACCUGGUGCAGGACCGCAACAACGAGAACGACUCUGGUCGGGAACUGGUCAUCACUGACCCCGUUGUCAAGAGCAGAGAGCUCUUCAUCUCAGACUAUGUGGACACGUACCAUGCUGCUGCCCUCAGGGGAAAGUGUAACAUCACCCACUUCUCCGACAUAUUCGCCGCCAGGGAGUUCAAAGCCCGCAUCGACUCCUUCUUCUAUAUCUUGGGAUACAACCCAGAGACAAGGCGGCUAAACAGCACACAAGGGGAGAUCCGAGUGGGUCCCAGCCACCAGGCCAAGCUCCCAGACCUGCAGCCCUUUCCCUCUCCUGGCGGCCAGUCCGUGACUGAGAAAGAGGAGUUGGUGUGGAUGCCGGGGGUCAACGACUGUGAUCUGCUCAUGUACCUUAGGGCAGCCAGGAGCAUGGCAGCGUUUGCGGGGAUGUGUGACGGAGGUUCCACAGAGGAUGGCUGCCUAGCUGCUUCCAGAGACGACACCACACUCAAUGCGCUAAACACUCUGCACGAGAGUAGUUACGACGCUGGGAAGGCCCUGCAGCGGCUGGUCAAGAAGCCUGUGCCCAAACUCAUCGAGAAGUGUUGGUCAGAGGACGAAGUGAAACGGUUCAUUAAAGGACUGAGACAGUACGGCAAAAACUUCUUCAGGAUUCGGAAAGACCUACUUCCCAACAAGGAAACGGGCGAACUGAUCACGUUCUACUACUACUGGAAGAAGACGCCCGAGGCGGCCAGCUCACGAGCCCACCGCCGCCACCGAAGACAGCCCGUCUUCCGCCGCAUCAAGACCCGGACCGCCUCCACGCCCGUCAACACUCCCUCACGCCCCCCCUCCAGCGAGUUUCUGGACCUGAGCUCAGCCAGUGAGGAUGACUUUGACAGCGAGGACAGCGAACAGGAGCUGAAGGGCUACGCCUGCCGCCACUGUUUCUCCACCACUUCUAAAGACUGGCACCACGGAGGCCGGGAGAACAUCUUACUGUGCACCGACUGCCGGAUCCACUUCAAGAAGUACGGCGAGCUACCACCCAUCGAAAAGCCCGUGGACCCGCCUCCGUUCAUGUUCAAACCCGUCAAAGAGGAAGAGGAUGGGCUCAGCGGCAAGCAUAGCAUGAGGACCCGACGCAACCGAGGCUCGAUGUCGACGCUACGAAGUGGCCGUAAGAAGCAGACAGCCAGCCCCGAUGGCAGAGCCUCCCCCACCACCGAGGACCUGCGCUCCAGCGGACGCACCUCACCCAGCGCAGCGAGCACGUCCAGCACAGACAGCAAGACCGACUCCAUGAAGAAACCCACCAAGAAAAUCAAGGAGGAAGCUCCAUCGCCCAUGAAGAGUGCCAAACGUCAGCGGGAGAAGGGCACCUCGGACACGGAGGAGUCGGAGAGGGCGAGCGCCAAGAAGUCGAAGACUCAGGAGCUAAGUCGACCGGACUCGCCAUCGGAGUUCGAGGGAGAGGGUGAGGGCGAGAGCUCAGACGGACGCAGUGUGAACGACGAGGGCAGCAGUGACCCCAAGGACAUCGACCAGGACAACCGCAGCUCCUCGCCUAGCAUCCCCAGCCCGCGCGACAACGAGAGCGACUCGGACUCGUCGGCCCAGCAGCACCUGCAGGCCCAGCACCCGCCCGUCAUCCAGUGCCAGCCGGGCGCCAUGCCCUCCGCCGCCCCCAACCCCCAAUCAUCCGCCUCCGCCUUGUCAUCGUCCUCUUCUUCGUCUUCAUCCGCGACAGCGACGGUCACUCCAAACCCCCCGACGUCAGUCGCGCCCCCAGCCUUACCUCCGCAGGUGUCCCCUGCCGGGCCUCCGGUGCCCAUGCCCCCUCAGCCCCCCAUGCCCCCCACGACGGGCCCACUCUCGCUCAUCCAGUCGGCCGGCGCACCCUCACUCCACCCGCAGCGGCUGCCCUCGCCUCACUCGCCGCUGCCCCAGAGUCUGCCUCAGGCGCCCGCGUCCUCUCAGACUGCCUCUCAGGCGCUGGCGCCACCCUUGCCCCCUCCGCCGCCACCUCACCACGGCCCGCUGCCCCCCAUGGCCCACCUGCAGGGCGGGCCGCCUCACCUGCCCCCGCACGGGCACCCAGCACACGGCAUGCCCCCCCAGCCCUUCCCGCACUCGCAAGCUCAGGUGCCCCCCUCAGGCUCCCACCCAGGACAGCCUCAACCCUCCGCAUUGUCCCAGCGAGAGAGGGAACGGGAACGGGAACGAGAGAGGGACCGAGAACGGGAGAGGGAGAGAGACCGGGAUCGGGAUCAGCAGCCGCCUUCCCACAUGCCCCCGACGUCCCAGCCGUCGUCGCAGGGAGCCCCCCAGCCGCCCCGCGAGCAGCCGCUGCCCCCGGCGUCCAUCUCUAUGCCCCACAUCAAGCCGCCCCCCACCACGCCCAUCCCGCAGAUGCCCAGCGCACCUUCCUCGCACAAGCACGCGCCGCACCUGGCCGCGCCGCCACCCUUCCCCCAGAUGCCCUCAAACCUGCCGCCGCCGCCGGCGCUCAAGCCCCUCAGCUCGCUGUCCACCCACCACCCGCCCUCGGCGCACCCGCCCCCGCUGCAGCUCAUGCCCCAGAGCCAGCAGCUGCAGCCGCCGCCCGCCCAGCCCCCCGUGCUCACGCAGUCCCAGAGCCUGCCCGCCUCAACUGGGCACGGGCCUCCGCAACCUCCCCCUCUCCCUCCGUCCGCAGCAGCCGCUGCUGCCGCUGCCGCUGCCGCCGCCGCCGCCUCGCACGGGCUGCCCUCCCAGCCGCCCUUCCCGCCUCACCCCUUCAUCCCCGGGGGCUCGGCCGUGCUGCCCCCUUCUUCGGUGGUGCCGCCGCCCUCCUCCGCUGCCUCUAUGCCCGGUCUGCCGCCUGUGGCCUCGUCCAUCUCCAUGCCGUUGCCUGCCUCGGUCAGCGCCAGCUUGCCGGGGCCCUCCUCUGUGGCGAUGCCCGCCAUUCAGAUCAAGGAGGAGCCGCUGGAUGAGGCCGAGGAGCCCGAGAGCCCGCCGCCUCCUCAGAGGAGCCCCUCGCCUGAACCCACCAUCGUCAACACUCCCAGCCACGCCAGCCAGUCCGCAAGGUUCUACAAACAUUUGGAUCGGGGCUACAACACCUGCGCCAGGACCGACUUCUACUUCACUCCGCUGGCCUCGUCCAAGCUGGCGAAGAAACGCGAGGAGGCCCUGGAGAAGGCCAAGAGGGAGGCUGAGCAGAAGGCUCGCGAAGAGAAGGAGAAAGAGCGGGAGCGGGAGAAGGAGCGAGAGAGGGAGCGCGAGCGAGAGAAGGAGGCCGAGAGAGCUGCGAAAGCCUCCAGCUCCUCUCACGAAGGCCGGAUGAGCGAGCCGCCGAUGCCCGGUCCCGCCCACAUGCGCCCGUCCUUCGACGGCCCGCCGACCACCAUCGCGGCCGUGCCGCCCUACAUCGGGCCCGACACGCCGGCGCUGCGCACGCUGAGCGAGUACGCGCGGCCGCACGUCAUGUCGCCCACCAACCGCAACCACCCGUUCUUCAUGUCGCUCAACCCCAGCGACCCGCUGCUGGCCUACCACAUGCCGGGCCUGUACAACGCCGACCCGGGGCUGCGCGAGCGCGAGCUGAGGGAGCGGGAGAUGCGCGAGCGCGAGAUCCGCGAGCGGGAGAUGCGCGAGCGCAUGAAGCCCGGCUUCGAGGUCAAGCCGCCCGAGCUGGAGGGCCUGCACCCGUCGGCCAACCCCAUGGAGCACUUUGCGCGCCACGGCGCCGCCAUCUCGCUGCCGCACAUGGCCGGACCGCACCCCUUCGCCUCCUUCCACCCGGGCCUGAACCCGCUGGAGCGCGAGCGGUUGGCGCUGGCCGGCGCCGGCCCGCAGCUGCGGCCCGACAUGACCUACCCGGAGCGGCUGGCGGCUGAGCGGCUGGCGGCCGAGCGCAUGGCCUCAGUGGCCGCCAACGACCCCAUUGCCCGGCUGCAGAUGUUCAACGUCACGCCGCACCACCAUCAGCAUUCGCACAUCCACUCGCACCUUCACCUGCACCAGCAGGAUCCGCUCCACCAAGGUGAGGGCAACUCUCCGACCGCCAGCCCCCGCCCACCCCCACGCAUGGCAUCAUCGCCCAGACACGCCAACCGCUCCGCUCAAGCAAUUUUAUGUGGUGGUGGUGAAUGUCUUGUGUGUCCCCCAGGUUCGGGGGCCCACCCGCUGGUCGACCCGCUCGCCGCCGGACCUCACCUGGCGCGCUUCCCCUACCCGCCCGGAGCCAUCCCCAACGCCCUGCUGGGACAGCCUCCCCACGAGCACGAGAUGCUGCGACAUCCUGUGUUUGUGCGACACGGCUCUGCCCUGUGUAUCCCUCCAGGCACACCAUACCCUGCCCGUGACCUGCCAGGAGGUCUGCCUCCACACAUGUCGGCAGCGCACCAGCUUCAGGCCAUGCACGCACAGUCGGCAGAGCUCCAGAGGCUAGCCAUGGAGCAGCAGUGGCUGCACGGACAUCCACACAUGCAUGGGGGCCCGCUGCCUGGCCAGGAGGACUACUACAGGUCAAUAGAGGGGAGGGGAUUUAGGUAACACGGAAUCGGGGUUGCCAGGGUGAACGUCAGGAUGAGAACAUUAAGCAGUAAGCCCCAGGAGGCUGUAGGUUCCAGUGAUUUUUUUAACAACUAAGGUGCAUUGUAUUAGGCUGUUCUAACAUCACUGGAACCUACUGCCUAGCGGGGCUUUCACUGCAACCAAUCAUAAUCAAGGACCGGAACUACCCAUUUUAGAAUCACCCAUUAGUAAAGGAAAAGAUGACAAGUCUAGAGGUAGCCAUACAUUUCUGAGCCGGUUGAAGAAAGAAAGUGAUAAGCAGCUGUAACCAACUGAGGGAGAUGCGAGGAGACGAGGUCGGCAGGACGUUGACACAGGAAGUUGUAACCGAACGCAGUCACGGAGAGGAACUCUACGGUGUCCUUGGACCGUUUUUUUUAUCCUAUUUUAAGACAAAGAAAGAAAAAAAAAAGGAAAAGUACAGACACCAGUUUCCUUUGCUGUUAUGGACGUUUAUUUUUUUGUUGGUUUUUUUUUUCCCGUUUGGAAAAAGGAACUGAGACUUUGGUAUAUAGCGUUCAAGUAGUAACAACGUCCUCAAGACUGAUUGUGACUUCCCUGCAUGGCAUCCAACUCCGAGAAGCUUCCCUGACCUGUUUAUUUUGUAGGUGCUAGAGAACAAGACACUUUUGUCACUGUGCUUAUGGAGAACGAGAGGAAAAAAAGACACAAACAAGGAAAACUGAUGGGCCAUUAUAUCUGAAAAAGUGCUAUCUUAAAUUCAAUGUUUAUUUUAAUACAUUGUAGAACGUUUUCACAAUUUUAAGAGGAAAAAAAGCUGCAGCAUGGCAUUUUUUUCUGAGUCUGUAAAUAGUAUAUAUACAUAUAAUAAUUAUUAUUAUUAUUAUUAUUAUUAUUAUUAGGUGUGGAUUCCUAACCAAGUUGUUAGACCCUUCCAGUAUAAUAGUUCUGAAGCAUUAUCCCUUGUUUCAGAGGGGAGCGCGAUGGCUCUGUUUGAGUUACCUAAUGGUCAUAAGAGACAGGUAUGGUCCAUAAAAAAGUUUGCUGGUACAGCAGUACCUCACAUGGAUCCACCAAUAUGUUUCACAUUCAGUCUGUCAUCGCUUUUUGAGAGCCAGCCGCAAAACAAGAAUGAAACAAACAUGGAGGGAAACAAAACACUUCAUUAUCAUCAACACAAGCAGGACAGCUUUCCCCUGCUCCCUUUUAAUGUUGGAACUCAACAGGUAUUGACUUGAAGAUUUGAGACACACGAAGAGGAGGGGGAUGACCUGUGUCUUAAUUUGGACAGGAGAGAACCCAAACACAAGACAUGAGCACAUAAACUCCCAUUACUCUCAAAAAAAAAAAAAAACUUGAAAAUUGCACUAAAUUUUUAAGCACUCACUUUGACAUUUUCACAUCUAAUUGACACUGUUGCAAAUCAGAGAAAGUAAUGUGGAUACAUCAUUUUUAAAAAUGUAAAUCCAUUCCAUAUUAUAAUUGCAAUUCCUUUUUAACUUGUAAAAUAAACAAUAUCAGUACCUUGCACAAAUAUGCAGUAGCGCUACAGUGGCCCUACUGGAAUCUCGACUUCAGUUCUUUGAGGAGUGGUUUUUAACGCUUCAGUUUUAAGACUUGAGUGGUGCUUAAUUUGAACAGUAAAGUACUCUGUCCUUGCAUACAUAUCCCACAAUGCUCCCCUCCCCCUGCAUAAAAAAAACAAACCCAGGGCUCCUCCCUCACUUAACCUCCAGCUUCACUGUAACAACUCAAGGUACCAUACUCACUGUGAUGCCACCAAGGCAAGUUCCUGAAGGUUAAGUGCUUGGACCUGAGUAUGUGUCUGUUUUGAGAGAGAAGAUGGCAAGUGAGAAUAGUGCAUGUGUUUACAAGAGAGGAGAAAUACAUGCUCCCAGUCCAGGUCCUGUCUGCAUUCCUUUACAACAACUACUGUCACAACUAGCCUGCCCUAUAUACCUCCUCACAGUCAUGGCUGGGUUGGUAAAAAGGUGGGGGUGGAUUGUGUACUCACCUCUGUUUGACUGUUACAUGCAGUAUUUUACACAGUCAUUUUUACCACGUCACCUCAAGUUCAUUCUGUUGUCCACCAUUGACAUCAUCCUCAGAUAUAUCUAUAUGCAUCUUGCACUUAAAAUCAAACCUCUGAGAUCUCUGAACUGGUCUAAACACUCACAUGGGGCUCCACAGCCUCAGUUGACGGCAGCGGGUAGUAUUUUGAAGGCAUGCUUUUCAGAGUGACACCAGCCGAGUUUAAUUUUGAAAUGUGCAGCUUUUUUGACCUAUUUUUCCCCUGGAUGUGGGUCUAAAUCCACACUGGGCUUUUUAUGAAAAUGAAAAACUCUAGCCAUUGACCUGUCUCUGUCUGUGUGGUGUACUGAGCAUUUGAUUUCUCUCUCUCUCUCUCUGCUUUAUUUUUACCAGAAGUCUCCCUGCCCCUCUGUUCCUCUUUUGUGUCUCAAACCUUUGAUGUUAAGUGUUGUCAACGGUUUAGCUUCUCGUUUUAAAAGCGGCAAUAGCAGAAUGUAAAUUCUGACUGCUAAGAUUUAUAUAUAUACUGGUAUCUUGAAGCUUAUUGUACAUAUUAGUAGUCGCCAUGGGAUGACACAAUGUAAACAAAAAGUAGAAAUAAUUAAGACAAAUUGUGAGUCCUGUGUUCUCUCCAUUUGAGUAUUUUGUAAUUUUUUUGAAAAAUUUGUGGAAUUAAAAUAAAAACUAAGUUACACCACA